RNAcentral lists this ribosomal RNA (458 nucleotides) under Moraxella catarrhalis. RNAcentral describes it as "bacterial SSU rRNA". It matches the Rfam family "Bacterial small subunit ribosomal RNA", at positions 86 to 531 of the family's 1533-position model. The record is from RNAcentral. Lineage: Bacteria; Pseudomonadati; Pseudomonadota; Gammaproteobacteria; Moraxellales; Moraxellaceae.
CUGACGUUAGCGGCGGACGGGUGAGUAACACGUGGAUAACCUACCUAUAAGACUGGGAUAACUUCGGGAAACCGGAGCUAAUACCGGAUAAUAUAUUGAACCGCAUGGUUCAAUAGUGAAAGACGGUUUUGCUGUCACUUAUAGAUGGAUCCGCGCCGCAUUAGCUAGUUGGUAAGGUAACGGCUUACCAAGGCAACGAUGCGUAGCCGACCUGAGAGGGUGAUCGGCCACACUGGAACUGAGACACGGCCCAGACUCCUACGGGAGGCAGCAGUAGGGAAUCUUCCGCAAUGGGCGAAAGCCUGACGGAGCAACGCCGCGUGAGUGAUGAAGGUCUUCGGAUCGUAAAACUCUGUUAUUAGGGAAGAACAAAUGUGUAAGUAACUAUGCACGUCUUGACGGUACCUAAUCAGAAAGCCACGGCUAACUACGUGCCAGCAGCCGCGGUAAUACGUAGG